RNAcentral lists this ribosomal RNA (253 nucleotides) under uncultured bacterium. Its description in RNAcentral is "partial 16S ribosomal RNA". It matches the Rfam family "Bacterial small subunit ribosomal RNA", at positions 524 to 776 of the family's 1533-position model. The record is from RNAcentral.
UACGGAGGGUGCAAGCGUUGUCCGGAUUUAUUGGGCUUAAAGGGCGCGUAGGCGGCUAUUUAAGUCAGUGGUGAAAUCCUGCAGCUUAACUGUAGAAUUGCCAUUGAUACUGGAUAGCUUGAGUACAGACGAGGUAGGCGGAAUUUAUGGUGUAGCGGUGAAAUGCAUAGAUACCAUAAAGAACACCUAUUGCGAAGGCAGCUUACUAGGCUGUAACUGACGCUGAGGCACGAAAGUGUGGGGAUCAAACAGG